Long non-coding RNA from Esox lucius (northern pike), 1809 nucleotides. The record is from Ensembl. Lineage: Eukaryota; Metazoa; Chordata; Actinopteri; Esociformes; Esocidae.
CAAAACCUUUGCUGGCUACAACCUUCAGUAACUAUGUUAUAUGAACCCUAAAAUAAAACUGUUUACUGUUACAUUGGGACCAUUUAUGGUGGGUUUUCGAAUUAUGUAUUAGGAUUUGUUCAGGAUAGACGAAACCUUCGCUGGCUACACAAUUCUCUCAUCUUUUCACUUGAUGAAAAAGUCAGCUAUUUUAACCUACAGUUAAGCCCAAAUGUAUUCAUGCCCAUGCCGAAUUUUGAGUUAUAGUGAAUUUGUAUUUGACCAAAAGUUCUUCUGGCUGGAAAUUACAUAAGUGACAAAACACGGUAAGACAUUGUGCUGGAGAUAAAAAUUCAUAACGUAACUAUUUCAGUUUUUUUCACAGUUUUACAAGAAAUGUCAAGUCCAACAUUAUUCAUAACCCUUGAAAUAGUUGGACAUUUUUGAGAAAAUUUUUCUUUACCAUUUACAAUGGUCUUGUAAUUUCCACCAUGAGAGAGCAUUCUAAUCACCUAUAAAUUGAGAAACAGCAGUAAUUCUCUAGUCAGUUACUAGGCAACUACAAGUCAUGGCUAAAAAUAGAAAUAGAUACGCAAUUCAUUUGUGUCUCCAGCACAAUGUCGUACCGUGUUUUGUCACUUGUUUAUGUCAUUUCCAGCCAGAAGAAACAUAUUGGUCAAAUAAAAUUAAAUAUAGCAAAAAAUUUGGCAUGGGUAUGAAUACUGAUGGGCUUAACUGUAUAUUGAUAGUUACUGUAUCAAUGUCAUUCACCAAUGGCUAAUAAGCUGUUAAAAUGGCCAGUGGCAAAAGCCAUACAGUUAAGAAACAUUAGUCAGUUUAAUACAAAGCUUAAUGGUUUCUAGUGACAUUUCAAACUCGGUAUGAUGUUAAUGCGUGACAAAAUGAUCUAAUGUCGAGGUGCUGUACCGACACAGGGAAAACAUUUAGCACCAUGGUCUAGUGGUUAAAGACACAGCCACUAAUGUGGGAGAACUGGGUUUGAAUCUGGUGGGGCAACAAUGACCAUUGCCUUUUAUUGUGGGCCGGCUGAACUAGACUAGACCUGGUUUCUUGUUUCUUGUUAACUUUCUCGUUAAUGACUUGAAUUACUCUAUAUACUCCCUUUGGUUCUGUUUAAGAGACAAAGGUAUGUUCAGUAUAAUACAUUAAACCUAAUUUGUUUUACAGAAAGAGACACAUCUCAGAGGUAAGAAUUCCCAUUGGAUUGGAUUGUUUUUAUGCAGUUUUUCAUCAACCUUUUGUUCUGUGUUUUUGUACAUGAUGAAAUAUGUUUUACCAAAAACCUGUUCAUGCAUAUUUCUCUUCUUAUAGACCUCAAGCCCAACAAGACGAUCAUUACCAACGAAUUGUGAUGGGAACCAAAAGGACGGGAAGCAUGGUGGAUUCAGGGAAUGAGGGGCUUUGUUCUCUCAUCCCCUCUGAAGCAUCCACGUUCAUACUCUCAGGUCCUGUUGGAGAGAACGGAGAAACAUCUGAAUAUGUUAAUCCUGAUAUAUACCAUGUCUACUCUUCAAUCCCGAACAGACCAGCAGUCUCGGGCCAUAAGGACAACAUCACUGGCUUUCUGUAGAUACAGUCUUGUGUACAGUUAUGUUUUAUUUUUGCUCUUUAUUCAAUCUCUUUGUAUUUGAAAUAAAACAAUGACAGUGGUGUAAAAAUAUAGUAUUAUUGUAUUAGGUGAACAAUAGAAAAAUCACAGAAUGGUUUGUACAUAUUUUCCCAUAGGGAGCCAUGUGUAUUUCGGCAGUUGUCUUCAAAGCUGAUUCUUAUUAGAUUGUUUUUGAUUGCUUGCAAUAAAAUUGACUGCCC